GAGUUUGAUCCUGGCUCAGGAUGAACGCUGGCGGCGUGCCUAACACAUGCAAGUCGAACGGACUUAACAUGAAACCUAGUGAUUGUUAAGCUAGUGGCGGACGGGUGAGUAACGCGUGGAUAACCUGCCGUAUGCAGGGGGAUAACAGUUGGAAACAGCUGCUAAUACCGCAUAAGCGCACAGUGCCGCAUGGCACAGUGCGAAAAGAUUUAUCGGCAUACGAUGGAUUCGCGUCCGAUUAGCCAGUUGGCGGGGUAACGGCCCACCAAAGCGACGAUCGGUAGCCGGCCUGAGAGGGCGGACGGCCACAUUGGGACUGAGACACGGCCCAAACUCCUACGGGAGGCAGCAGUGGGGAAUAUUGCACAAUGGGGGAAACCCUGAUGCAGCGACGCCGCGUGAGUGAAGAAGCAUCUCGGUACGUAAAGCUCUAUCAGCAGGAAAGAAAAUGACGGUACCUGACUAAGAAGCCCCGGCUAACUACGUGCCAGCAGCCGCGGUAAUACGUAGGGGGCAAGCGUUAUCCGGAUUUACUGGGUGUAAAGGGAGCGUAGACGGCGCUGCAAGUCCGGAGUGAAAGCCCAUGGCUUAACCAUGGUACUGCUCUGGAAACUGUAGAGCUUGAGUGCGGGAGGGGCAGGCGGAAUUCCUAGUGUAGCGGUGAAAUGCGUAGAUAUUAGGAGG
This 684-nucleotide ribosomal RNA is filed under the name uncultured bacterium. RNAcentral describes it as "bacterial SSU rRNA". It matches the Rfam family "Bacterial small subunit ribosomal RNA", at positions 9 to 704 of the family's 1533-position model. The record is from RNAcentral.